UACGUAGGUGGCGAGCGUUGUCCGGAUUUACUGGGCGUAAAGAGCGCGCAGGCGGCUGGUCAAGUCCGAUGUGAAAGCUCCCGGCUUAACUGGGAAAUUGCAUCGGAAACUGAUCGGCUGGAAGGUGGGAGAGGGUAGCGGAAUUCCCGGUGUAGUGGUGAAAUGCGUAGAUAUCGGGAGGAACACCAGUGGCGAGAGCGGCUACCUGGCCCAUUCUUGACGCUGAGGCGCGAAAGCUAGGGGAGCAAACGGG
Molecule: ribosomal RNA, 253 nt
Filed under: uncultured bacterium
Lineage: Bacteria
Description: partial 16S ribosomal RNA
Rfam family: Bacterial small subunit ribosomal RNA
Source: RNAcentral